UUCCCCCAGUGGCCCGGGCCUGGCCUCCGCCGCCGGUUCCUCCUCCUAGGCGUCCGCCUACUUCUUUGCUGCGCCCAUGGUUCUUCCCGGAGCCCAGGCCUGGGCCAGGGCCGGGGAGGUAGAGCGGGCGAAUGCGGCGUGGUGAGCUGGCGGCGCGGGUAUAAUGUGGACCUCGCGUUGCCGCUGCUAUUGCCACCGCUUGUUGUCAGCCGCGUUGCUGCUGGCGCUAAGCGGGCAGCUGUCUUUGCUGCUGCUGCUGCUGCUCCUGCUGGACGGAGCGGCCGCCCACGCCUCUCACACCUCUUUGCCCGGAGCCCCAUUGAAGCUUUCCCAGCCCCCGCCGCUGCCUAGGGCCUCGGGCACUGUUUUUCCUGCCAGGCCCGGCCUCCCGAGUGGUAGCAGAACCGUGUCCCCUUCCGGGCAGGCCGGACUCAGCGGUAAUGGCAGCGGCCCAGGAGCUGGGCCUGCCGAGAUCGGAGGAGGCGGGCUGGCAGUGUCCCCGAAUUCUGGCGACAAACCCAUGACCCAGAGGGCCCUCUUGGUGCUGAUGGUGGUGAGCGCCGCGGUCCUUGUGUACUUUGUGAUUAGAACCAUCAGAAUGAGAAGAAGAAAUAGAAAGACACGAAGAUAUGGAGUUUUGGACACAAAUCUAGAAAAUAUGGAAUUAACACCUUUAGAACAAGAUGAUGAUGAUGAUGAUACAACACUUUUUGAUGCCAAUCAUCCCCGAAGGUUUUCGUGAUAUUACUGUAUCCUGGUCCUCCUUCUACCUGUCUGACCGUUCCUUCCCAAUCUCCUUUGUUGAAUCUUCUUCCAGCCCAGGAAAGAUAAGAAUGUGCCUUUUAAUGAGAAAACAUCAUUGGUGAACAUCAUAGGAAAAAGCUUAUGAUUAAGGAAGAAGAAGCCAAUAUCAGUCACAGCAUGGGGGGUAUUUAAGUUAUGUAUAUUAUGACUUUUAAUUUGUUGUUGAAAAAAAAUACUGUAUCAGUUUGUUGCAUCUUUGUAUAUAUAGGAAUGUUCUAUUAUAAAUGAGUUCAAAUUUGAAAAAAAGAAAUGCAUUAUAAUAUAAAGCUACUUGAAAAUUACCAUUAAAAUAGUGUUUUCAUUUUUCUUUUCUUUACUGUUUACCAUGUGGUAAACAGUUUCUGUUUAUAUGCUAAUCAGCUAAUGUUAAUUGUUUUGCUGGUAUAAUGUUUUAAGUAAUUAUACUUGUAAGUAUCCAUUGAAGUGCAAAUUCUUUAAUAUAAUUUGAUUUUUUUUUCCCCAACAAAAUGUAUUUCCCAUUUUUGGGGGGAAAUGCCAGAUGUACUGCUUUGUUUUUGACUAUUUUUUAAACUAUAUGACUAUAUGAGCUAUUGUAUGCAAAGCAAUAAAUGUGAUAUUAAAUUGUUUUAAGUGUACUAAAAGAAAUGUGGAAGGCAGUAUCAUUUGAAGAUAAAAAUUUAUUUCCAAAAUAACUCUAAAAUUUCUGUGCUGUUAUUUCAAUAAUACAUAUUUCUCCUCAUUUUUAGAAAAGUUUUGUGACAUAUUACAUAUUAUUAAUACUGCCAUCAUAUAUAAUUCUGUAAUUUCAAAAAUUGAAUAUAUAUACAAGAUAUUAAUUUCAAGAACUUUAAAAAAUUUUGAGACUUAAGAUGUUUUCAGAAAUCAUUGAUUUCAAAGAUUUUUCACUAUAUAUUUUCUUUACAUAAUGUGAGCAGAUGCAAUUUAAUAUAUUAGAAUGAAAACUUGAAAUAAUUGCAAAAAUGGUAAGGGUAGGGGCUGUAGUGAUCAUUGACAUUUAUAUAUUUCUUUAAAAUAUGCAAAGCAUUUUUCAUAGAUUAUCUCAUUUCACUCUGAUAACAAUACUGUAAAGUAUAUUAUGUUACAUAAUUUCUUUUAUAUGUAGUCAUGUAUAUGUUCUGUUAUGGCUAUUAUUUAUAGUAACUAUUUUCAUUUUACUGAUGAGGAAACUGAGGCAUUGCCACAUUCAUAGUAGUAAACAUUGGCAUUUGAAUUCAAAUAUUUCUGCCUUUGAGACUACGGUAUUAUCUGUUGCAUUGUGGUACCUGUCAGGGAUACUAAAAUAAUGACAGUGAAGAAUUAAGAGUUAGGGGAAAGAAGUUCUGCUCCCAAGAUGAGAGAGUGAGGAAAAAAAAUCCUCAGAAAUCUUCCCAAAUUCCCUUCCAAACCACCAGAAAAUAUCAGAAUUGAAACAGGCAUAGGAGAACAAUCUAUCAGCCUGGCAGGAAAGCUCCCAGCCUGUGGCAAUAUGCCAAAGGAGCUCUUCUCCUUCAAAUGAGCAGUCUUGUGUAUCACAGCAAGGUCCUGCCCUAAUGACCCCAACCCCAGUACAAGCCAUCAGUAAGGCCUUGACCCAAUUUCUGACCAGUACUGUUGAAGACCCUCCUUGGGGCUGACCAGAGAGUGGGACCCUGUUCCUGGGACCUACCCUUGAAAGACCCUAUUUCCAAUCAACAGUGGCCCUGACUUUGGGGCAGACCAGCAAAAAGAUCUGUCCUCCCGGACCAGCUACCAGAAAAACUCUGUUACCAUAGCAACUCAGCAGCAUUGCCCUACCCCUGGAGCAUGACAGCUGCUAACCCUCACAUCCAGGGGAGGCCCCUUUUAAUACGAGUCAGAGGGGAAGCCUAUCUUCCAUAGGAAACAAGCAGGUAAGACCUGAAGCCAAAGGAAAGCCAGCAGUAAGACCCAGCGCCCCAGCAGAAAAAGCUCAAGACAGGAGCCCAACUCACAUAAAAACACCACAUCACAAAAAAGGCAGAAAAAUGAGCAAAAAACAUACCAACAAAAAAAAAACAAAACAA
RNA transcript from Antechinus flavipes (yellow-footed antechinus), 2807 nucleotides. It is a transcript of the gene named family with sequence similarity 174 member A, with no coding region annotated. The record is from RefSeq and is a predicted model, not a curated record. Lineage: Eukaryota; Metazoa; Chordata; Mammalia; Dasyuromorphia; Dasyuridae. The transcript is spliced from 4 exons.